AGUCGAGUACUGACCCUCGCAGGCAGAGCCAGAGGCGGCACACCAGUGUGGAAGAGGACGGGCCGCCUCCCGUUAAAAUAGCCUGGAGAACAGCCGCCGCCAGGAAGUCCUUACCAGCCUCCAUCACAAUGCACAAGGGGAGCCUAGAUCUGCACAAGUGUAAUAUGUCUCCAGUUGUGAAAAUUGAACAAGUGUUUGCUCUCCAGAAUGCAACAGGAGAUGGGAAGUUUAUUGAUCAGUUUGUUUAUUCAACGAAGGUACCUCUUGUUCUCUAGGGGUUUGGGGAAUGCCACUGAGACCCACUUAAGAAUGUGAUUUAAAUCCCCCCUGGAUCCACUGCAUUCGAAGCAUACAUUCCCGUUUACUCUGGGCAAAAAGCUCUGUCCUUCCCGUUUGCCUCUUGGAACAUCCCCAUCUGUAGUAGAUUAAUCUUGAGCAAUACAGCUAAAAUUGAGCUUAGCUCCUGGAAAUCAUGAAAAAAACUGGGCAGCUUGCCUGUUUCUAAUUUGUAGAGUUAGUUUUCCUUUGUUGUAAAGUAUGAUUUUUAUUAAAAGUUUUCUUUUAUCUG
This 568-nucleotide long non-coding RNA is filed under the name Rattus norvegicus (Norway rat). Its description in RNAcentral is "long non-coding RNA NONRATT012070". The record is from RNAcentral. Lineage: Eukaryota; Metazoa; Chordata; Mammalia; Rodentia; Muridae.